UGCAUGUCUAAGUACAUGCCGUAUUAAGGCGAAACCGCGAAUGGCUCAUUAAAUCAGUUAUGGUUCCUUGGAUCGUACCUUACUACUUGGAUAACUGUGGUAAUUCUAGAGCUAAUACAUGCAGCAGAGCUCCGACCUUCGGGGACGAGCGCUUUUAUUAGACCAAAACCAAUCGGACUCUGUCCGUCUCUUGUGGUGACUCUGAAUAACUUUGGGCUGAUCGCACGGGCCCGUCCCGGCGAUGUAUCUUUCAAGUGUCUGCCUUAUCAACUUUCGAUGGUAGGUUACGCGCCUACCAUGGUCGUAACGGGUAACGGGGAAUCAGGGUUCGAUUCCGGAGAGGGAGCCUGAGAAACGGCUACCACAUCCAAGGAAGGCAGCAGGCGCGCAAAUUACCCACUCCCGGAACGGGGAGGUAGUGACGAAAAAUAACAAUACGGGACUCUUUUGAGACCCCGUAAUUGGAAUGAGUACACUCUAAAUCCUUUAACGAGGAUCCAUUGGAGGGCAAGUCUGGUGCCAGCCGCCGCGGUAACUCCAGCUCCAAUAGCGUAUAUUAAAGUUGUUGCGGUUAAAAAGCUCGUAGUUGGAUCUCAGUUCCAGACGGGUGGUCCGCCUACCGGUGGUUACUGCCUGUUCUGAACAGCCAGCCGGUUUCUCUUGAUGAUCUUCACCGGUUGUCUUGGGUGACCGGCAAGUUUACUUUGAAAAAAUUAGAGUGCUCAAAGCAGGCGCGACGCCUGAAUAAUGGUGCAUGGAAUAAUGGAAUAGGACCUCGGUUCUAUUUUGUUGGUUUUCGGAACACGAGGUAAUGAUUAAGAGGGACAGACGGGGGCAUUCGUAUUGCGACGCUAGAGGUGAAAUUCUUGGACCGUCGCAGGACGAAAUACUGCGAAAGCAUUUGCCAAGAAUGUUUCCAUUAAUCAAGAACGAAAGUUAGAGGUUCGAAGGCGAUCAGAUACCGCCCUAGUUCUAACCAUAAACGAUGCCAGCCAGCGAUCCGGCUGUGUUCCUCAAAUGACACGCCGGGCAGCUUCCGGGAAACCAAAGCUUUUGGGUUCCGGGGGAAGUAUGGUUGCAAAGCUGAAACUUAAAGGAAUUGACGGAAGGGCACCACCAGGAAUGGAGCCUGCGGCUUAAUUUGACUCAACACGGGAAAACUCACCCGGCCCGGACACAGGAAGGAUUGACAGAUUAAGAGCUCUUUCUUGAUUCUGUGGGUGGUGGUGCAUGGCCGUUCUUAGUUGGUGGAGCGAUUUGUCUGGUUUAUUCCGAUAACGA
This 1281-nucleotide ribosomal RNA is filed under the name Salticus scenicus. RNAcentral describes it as "SSU rRNA". It matches the Rfam family "Eukaryotic small subunit ribosomal RNA", at positions 52 to 1334 of the family's 1831-position model. The record is from RNAcentral. Lineage: Eukaryota; Metazoa; Arthropoda; Arachnida; Araneae; Salticidae.